This 1781-nucleotide unclassified non-coding RNA is filed under the name Hevea brasiliensis (rubber tree). Lineage: Eukaryota; Viridiplantae; Streptophyta; Magnoliopsida; Malpighiales; Euphorbiaceae. The record is from RNAcentral.
CUGUUUUUUAAUGUAAGCAUUGUGUUUCAGAAGAAAAACAGAAUAAUCAUAUCACUAGAAAAGUAAUCUUGAGUACAAAUACAUCGAGUUCGAUGCUAAUCAAGUCAUUUCCUCCCUACAUAACAUCCCAUUGGAGGUAGUUUCCUAUGAAUCAAAACCCAAUUACAACCAAGCGUGUUUAUUUUACAGUUUUUCUCCAGCCACCCAGCAGAUAUACAAGAAAAUCUAAAAGACGACACCUGCAAUGAAGCCCUCAUAAUUGGUAUGCUAGCUCUCCUUCAGAAUCCAAAGUUCUUCUCAAAGGGUUGUUCCUGUACCAGACAUGCACAUACUCAUGCCAAAAUAAAAAUAUGACGAUGAAAGGCACUGAAUACCACAAGCAUGGCAGGGAUAGCUUUUCUAUUUAGUGCCUCCAGUUGGCAUGUUUUACCAUGCCUUGCACUCGAAUGGAGAGAUCUCUCUCACUGCCGAAUGGGAACUAUGCCAAUGGAAAAUCAUUAGAGGUUCAACCAUAUCCACAAUGUUACUGCUGAUUCAAGCCAGAUAUUUCCUGAGCAACAGGAUUUGAUGUUUCCUGAACUGCCCGUGUCUUGACCUGAUAAACCUACCGCAUCUGCUUCUCACUUGCACCCUUUUCUUGUCUAAAGUUAGUCUCAGCAUCUCCUGCUGGCCUAAAAAUCCACUUGGUAGGAGGUGAUGGAAGUGGACCUAUGUUCUGCUCAACCUGGUGGUGCAUAUUUGAAUUACUCCCUGUAUUUGGCACGCGCUGCAAUAUUACUACAGGCGGUCUGCUUCUGACAUUUUCUUCUACAGUCAAAGCAGAUAUCCCACUCUUUAUAUCAUGGUACUGUUCAGGGUAUUGUACUCUGUCCUGAGUCUUAAAGUUGUGCCGAUUGCCUGGCAUGCCAUUUGAUAUUGGAGAAAAUCUAGGAUUGCUCAUUAGGCCUUGUUGGUUACCGUAAUGCCCAUAAUAAUAGUUUGGGUCAUAAUUGUAGCUCCUUUCAUUUCCAGAGGGUCCAGCUGGUCUAGGUCUGUUGAACAUAGGAUUCCCUGGGAUAUUGCGAUAUGGCGGUUGCUCAAAAUAUCUCGAAGAUGACCCAUUUGGUCUGAUAUUAAGCGUGUUCUUGACAAGCCGGUGAGCUGCUUCACCCAACAGAGGGCCAGCUAUUCCUCUAGGUACUUGUGGCCUUUCUCUGCCUUGCUGGCGUCGACCAUUAUCUUCAUGCCAUAAUGUGGGGAAUGGUUUAAUAUCUAUAGGUUUUAAGAUCUUUUCAGGCAUGACCACACCAGUGGGAGGUUCAGGUACGUGUCUAUGAUUUAUAGGAUUAAGAUAUGUAAUAUUUAAAACUUGGUUGGGCUCUAUGUCUGGCAACCCACUGACAGGUGAAGGGACCAUACUUCUCCAGACAUUCCUCUCAGUUAACCAAAGAUAGCCAUUCAUGCCAGCACUGGCAUUUGUGUCAAUUUCCCAACAACACCUUUGCAAUGGAAGUAACAAACGGGUAACUUCAUGGUAUGAGAAGAUUUCUGCUGCCAAAGGAUGAGCAGGAUGAACAUACAGCAAAUCUAGCAUUUUACUAUUACGGAACCGUUCUUUGUCCUGCAACUUACCAAAACAAAAUUUUAGUGCUAUCGGGAACUAUGACAACUAGGUUUUGCUGCACCUGAUGGCCACAACAUAUCAUAAUGAAAUGGUUGCCAUCAUCUUGGAAUUCCAUGCUGCUUACAAAUCAACAUUGAACCAAAAACUAUAGGCAAAAGGGAUACUCCUACAUCGCUAC